AGUGAACGCUGGCGGUAGGCCUAACACAUGCAAGUCGAACGGCAGCACAGUAAGAGCUUGCUCUUACGGGUGGCGAGUGGCGGACGGGUGAGGAAUACAUCGGAAUCUACUUUUUCGUGGGGGAUAACGUAGGGAAACUUACGCUAAUACCGCAUACGACCUACGGGUGAAAGCAGGGGAUCUUCGGACCUUGCGCGAUUGAAUGAGCCGAUGUCGGAUUAGCUAGUUGGCGGGGUAAAGGCCCACCAAGGCGACGAUCCGUAGCUGGUCUGAGAGGAUGGUCAGCCACACUGGAACUGAGACACGGUCCAGACUCCUACGGGAGGCAGCAGUGGGGAAUAUUGGACAAUGGGCGCAAGCCUGAUCCAGCCAUACCGCGUGGGUGAAGAAGGCCUUCGGGUUGUAAAGCCCUUUUGUUGGGAAAGAAAAGCAGCAGGUUAAUACCCCGCUGUUCUGACGGUACCCAAAGAAUAAGCACCGGCUAACUUCCUG
RNAcentral lists this ribosomal RNA (492 nucleotides) under uncultured bacterium. Its description in RNAcentral is "partial 16S ribosomal RNA". It matches the Rfam family "Bacterial small subunit ribosomal RNA", at positions 29 to 507 of the family's 1533-position model. The record is from RNAcentral.